UUUUAUUCUUUCAAUGCCCCUUGGCAAUCAUUAUUUCACCUGACCGUUUGAUCUUUUUUUUUUUCAACAGCUUGAAUAUGGGUUUACCCGUGGCGGUUAGAUGAGAUGUGAACCAUGACAGGUAGUUCAAUCUUUCUAGGAGACCACGAACCUCUCUUUUUAUUCUCGGUUCAGGCGUUUUUUUUUUCUCUGUUUUUUUUUUUUUU
Molecule: long non-coding RNA, 206 nt
Filed under: Lathyrus oleraceus (garden pea)
Lineage: Eukaryota; Viridiplantae; Streptophyta; Magnoliopsida; Fabales; Fabaceae
Description: Pisum sativum (pea) long non-coding RNA (PSAT_LNC031054)
Source: RNAcentral